Molecule: ribosomal RNA, 1390 nt
Filed under: uncultured bacterium
Lineage: Bacteria
Description: bacterial SSU rRNA
Rfam family: Bacterial small subunit ribosomal RNA
Source: RNAcentral
GAGUUUGAUCCUGGCUCAGGACGAACGCUGGCGGCGUGCUUAACACAUGCAAGUCGAACGGAGCACCUUCGAAAGAGACUUCGGUCAAUGGAAAAGAAUGCUUAGUGGCGGACGGGUGAGUAACGCGUGAGGAACCUGCCUUUCAGUGGGGGACAACAGUUGGGAACGACUGCUAAUACCGCAUAACGUACGGGUAUCGCAUGGUAUCUGUACCAAAGAUUUAUCGCUGAGAGAUGGCCUCGCGUCUGAUUAGCUAGUUGGUAGGGUAACGGCCUACCAAGGCGACGAUCAGUAGCCGGACUGAGAGGUUGGCCGGCCACAUUGGGACUGAGAUACGGCCCAGACUCCUACGGGAGGCAGCAGUGGGGAAUAUUGCACAAUGGGCGAAAGCCUGAUGCAGCAACGCCGCGUGAAGGAAGAAGGGUUUCGGCUCGUAAACUUCUAUCAACAGGGACGAAAGAAAUGACGGUACCUGAAUAAGAAGCCCCGGCUAACUACGUGCCAGCAGCCGCGGUAAUACGUAGGGGGCAAGCGUUAUCCGGAAUUACUGGGUGUAAAGGGUGAGUAGGCGGCAUGGUAAGCCAGAUGUGAAAGCCUUGGGCUUAACCCGAGGAUUGCAUUUGGAACUAUCAAGCUAGAGUACAGGAGAGGAAAGCGGAAUUCCUAGUGUAGCGGUGAAAUGCGUAGAUAUUAGGAAGAACACCAGUGGCGAAGGCGGCUUUCUGGACUGAAACUGACGCUGAGGCACGAAAGCGUGGGGAGCGAACAGGAUUAGAUACCCUGGUAGUCCACGCCGUAAACGAUGAAUGCUAGGUGUCGGGGAGGAAUCCCCGGUGCCGCAGCUAACGCAAUAAGCACUCCACCUGGGGAGUACGACCGCAAGGUUGAAACUCAAAGGAAUUGACGGGGGCCCGCACAAGCGGUGGAGCAUGUGGUUUAAUUCGAAGCAACGCGAAGAACCUUACCAAGGCUUGACAUCCCGAUGACAGGCGUAGAGAUACGCUAUCCCUUCGGGGCAUUGGUGACAGGUGGUGCAUGGUUGUCGUCAGCUCGUGUCGUGAGAUGUUGGGUUAAGUCCCGCAACGAGCGCAACCCUUACCCUUAGUAGCCAUCAUUAAGUUGGGCACUCUAGGGGGACUGCCGUGGAUAACACGGAGGAAGGUGGGGAUGACGUCAAAUCAUCAUGCCCCUUAUGUCUUGGGCUACACACGUGCUACAAUGGCUGGCAACAAAGUGAAGCGAGACGGCGACGUUAAGCAAAUCACAAAAACCCAGUCCCAGUUCGGAUUGCAGUCUGCAACUCGACUGCAUGAAGCUGGAAUCGCUAGUAAUCGCGAAUCAGAAUGUCGCGGUGAAUACGUUCCCGGGCCUUGCACACACCCGCCCGUCA